UUUGAUCAUGANUCAGGAUGAACGCUGGCGGCGUGCUUAACACAUGCAAGUCGAACGAUGAAGCCGGAGCUUGCUCUGGUGGAUUAGUGGCGAACGGGUGAGUAACACGUGAGUAACCUGCCCUUGACUCUGGAAUAAGCGUUGGAAACGACGUCUAAUACCGGAUACGAGCUUCCGCCRCAUGGUGAGGAGCUGGAAAGAAUUUCGGUCAAGGAUGGACUCGCGGCCUAUCAGGUAGUUGGUGAGGUAAUGGCUCACCAAGCCUACGACGGGUAGCCGGCCUGAGAGGGUGACCGGCCACACUGGAACUGAGACACGGUCCAGACUCUACAGGAGGCAGCAGUGGGGAAUAUUGCACAAUGGGCGCAAGCCUGAUGCAGCAACGCCGCGUGAGGGACGACGGCUUCGGGUUGUAAACCUCUUUUAGUAGGGAAGAAGCGAAAGUGACGGUACCUGCAGAAAAAGCACCGGCUAACUACGUGCCAGCAGCCGCGGUAAUACGUAGGGUGCAAGCGUUAUCCGGAAUUAUUGGGCGUAAAGAGCUCGUAGGCGGUUUGUCGCGUCUGCUGUGAAAACUGGGGGCUCAACCCCCAGCCUGCAGUGGGUACGGGCAGACUAGAGUGCGGUAGGGGAGAUUGGAA
Molecule: ribosomal RNA, 641 nt
Filed under: Microbacteriaceae bacterium GWS-BW-H301M
Lineage: Bacteria; Bacillati; Actinomycetota; Actinomycetes; Micrococcales; Microbacteriaceae
Description: bacterial SSU rRNA
Rfam family: Bacterial small subunit ribosomal RNA
Source: RNAcentral